Long non-coding RNA from Zophobas morio, 321 nucleotides. RefSeq lists it as uncharacterized. The transcript has 4 exons. NCBI's taxonomy places the organism in Eukaryota, Metazoa, Arthropoda, Insecta, Coleoptera, Tenebrionidae. The record is from RefSeq and is a predicted model, not a curated record.
GCUACUUUGGUGUUCGCCGUAACUCCAACCCGCGCACGUCUCACGCAGAGAGCGGAGUUAACUCGUAUAAGCAACUUAGUGAGUUCGAUUCCAAAUAUUUAUUGGAUUGUUAUAGAAGAAGGCAAAUCCAUUACUUCGGCCGUCAAAGAAAUUCUGCAACACACAAAAGCAACUAAAACUGUCCAUCUCGCUGCUCAUGCACCUAAAGAACUUUUUACUUCCAACACAAAGAAAAGUUUUCAGCUUGGAACAGUUGCACAGUACAACUCGGCACUAAAUUUUAUUAGUAAAUAUAAUAAAAAUGGUGUUGUAAUAUUUUUG